GACAGCAGUAGCCACGGUAAUACGGAGGGUGCAAGCGUUAUCCGGAUUUAUUGGGUUUAAAGGGUCCGUAGGCGGAUCUGUAAGUCAGUGGUGAAAUCUCACAGCUUAACUGUGAAACUGCCAUUGAUACUGCAGGUCUUGAGUAAAUUUGAAGUGGCUGGAAUAAGUAGUGUAGCGGUGAAAUGCAUAGAUAUUACUUAGAACACCAAUUGCGAAGGCAGGUCACUAAGAUUUAACUGACGCUGAUGGACGAAAGCGUGGGGAGCGAACAGGAUUAGAUACCCCGGUAGUCCCUGUCUCUUAUAC
RNAcentral lists this ribosomal RNA (306 nucleotides) under uncultured bacterium. Its description in RNAcentral is "partial 16S ribosomal RNA". It matches the Rfam family "Bacterial small subunit ribosomal RNA", at positions 505 to 807 of the family's 1533-position model. The record is from RNAcentral.